AAGAGGCAAAACCAGACUGUUUACAGUUUGGGGUUGUGGACCACCGACAUUGACGAAGUUAUGCGAGCCGAAUAGGGUUGGAAAGCUCAAGCAAAGAAGGUAAUACUCCUGUAGGCGAAGCAGAAAGCGCAUAGGUGGCACCAGAGUAGGACCGGACACGUGUAACCCGGUCUGAAGCAGGAGGGACCACCCUCCAAGCCUAAAUACUACCCAGUGACCGAUAGCGAAUAGUACCGUGAGGGAAAGGUGAAAAGAACCCCGGGAGGGGAGUGAAAUAGAAUCUGAAACCUGAUGCUUACAAGCAUAGGGAGCGCAAGUGACCUAGUACUUUUUGUAGAACGGGCCAACGAGUUAUGGUAUGUAGCGAGGUUAAGUUUCUGGAGGAACGGAGCCGUAGAGAAAUCGAGUCUUAAUAGGGCGAGAGUUACAUGCUGUAGACCCGAAACCGGGUGACCUAUCCAUGAGCAGGUUGAAGUAACCGUAAAAGGUUAUGGAGGACCGAACCUAUAUCUGUUGAAAAAGGUUAGGAUGACUUGUGGAUAGCGGUGAAAUUCCAAUCGAACUCGGAUAUAGCUGGUUCUCCUCGAAAUAGCUUUAGGGCUAGCCUCAAGGAAGAGAUACACGGGGGUAGAGCACUGACUGUUCGCGGGGCCUUCACCGGUUACCAACAACUAUCAAACUCCGAAUACCGUGGUAUCAUACUUGGGAGUCAGACUAUGAGAGAUAAGUUCCAUGGUCGAAAGGGAAACAGCCCAGAUCAACAGCUAAGGUCCCAAAGAGUAAGUUAAGUGGAAAAGGAUGUGGGAUUGCACAAACAGCUAGGAUGUUGGCUUAGAAGCAGCCAUACAUUUAAAGAGUGCGUAAUAGCUCACUAGUCGAGUGAUCCUGCGCCGAAGAUAAACGGGGCUGAAACUUACCACCGAAGCUUUGGAAUUAGGGAACUAAUUGGUAGAGGAGCAUUCUAUACAGGAAGAAGGAGGCGCGUAAGCAAAUCUGGACAGUAUAGAAGAGAGAAUGUUGGCAUGAGUAGCGUAAGGCGGGUGAGAAUCCCGUCCGCCGAAAAUCUAAGGUUUCCUGAGGAAGGUUCGUCCUCUCAGGGUAAGUCGGGACCUAAGCCGAGAGCGAACGCUGUAGGCGAUGGACAACAGGUUGAUAUUCCUGUACCACCAAGGAUUGUUUGAAUGAAGUGGGGACACAGAAGGAUAGAUUGAGCACGCCGUUGGUUGAGCGUGUCCAAGCAGUAAGGCUAGAAAGUAGGCAAAUCCGCUUUCUAUAAGGUUGAGCUGUGAUGGGGUGGUCAAAUGACCGGUAGCAAUCGAUUUCACGCUGUCAAGAAAAGCCGCUAAUGAGAUCCAAGGUGCCCGUACCGCAAACCGACACAGGUAGAUGAGGAGAGAAUCCUAAGGUGAGCGAGCGAACUAUUGUUAAGGAACUCGGCAAAAUAACCCCGUAACUUCGGGAGAAGGGGUGCCUGCUUCGGCAGGCCGCAGUGAAGAGGUCCAGGCAACUGUUUACCAAAAACACAGGUCUCUGCUAAAGCGAAAGCUGAUGUAUAGGGGCUGACGCCUGCCCGGUGCUGGAAGGUUAAGGGGAAGUGUUAGGGCAACCGAAGCACAGAACUUAAGCCCCAGUAAACGGCGGCCGUAACUAUAACGGUCCUAAGGUAGCGAAAUUCCUUGUCGGGUAAGUUCCGACCCGCACGAAAGGCGUAAUGAUCUGGACACUGUCUCAACAAUAGGCUCGGUGAAAUUGAAGUACCGGUAAAGAUGCCGGUUACCCGCAGCAGGACGGGAAGACCCCGUGGAGCUUUACUGUAGCUUGAUAUUGAUUUUCGGCAUUGCAUGUACAGGAUAGGUGGGAGACGAAGAAUUCAGCACGCCAGUGUUGAAGGAGUCACCGUUGGGAUACCACCCUUGUAAUGUUGGAAAUCUAACCUAGUACCGUGAACCGGUACAGGGACAGUGUCAGGUGGGCAGUUUGACUGGGGCG
This 1989-nucleotide ribosomal RNA is filed under the name human metagenome. RNAcentral describes it as "bacterial LSU rRNA". It matches the Rfam family "Bacterial large subunit ribosomal RNA", at positions 263 to 2281 of the family's 2925-position model. The record is from RNAcentral.